CCCCUUACAAGCUGAUAGGCUGUGUUAGUACCACCCUUUGCCUAUAAAAUAAAGCUUCUGUGUUUUUUCUUUCCUUUCUCACAGCACUCACUCUGCCUAGCAGGGUGGGUGGCCUGAUUGCGAAAUUUAUUUUUCACUUUUUCAGGGCUCCAUAUCUGGCAUGGAGUUCCAACUUCUUAACAUCUUUCAGCUUUGCAUUUUUUCUUAGUUGUGAUGGAGGAGUAGGAGUCUUUUUGCCACCUCCAAGGGUGGAACACCAGGGGUCUAGUACUACUGGUGCACAGAACCAGUAUUCGGAAUGGUCUCAAAAGAGAUGGAUGUCAUCCUAGAAUGAUGAGGAGGGUUCUCGAAUCAACGCACCAAAACAGCAGACAACGAAGCAAACACAAAAAAAAACGAAGCUUUCUAUUUAUUUUUCGGGAAUUAUGCAACAAUUUUCCUUAAAGCAAACACAAAACAAACAAAAUUUCCAAUUCCCUUAUUGUUGCGUAAUCCCUGAUCCCCUGACCUUUGGGUCAUAUGCUUCCGGCAGUCUGUGUUGCUUGGUUCGGUGGGUCGAGGGGUUACCCUACCGGUAAAACUGGAAAAGAAAACAUCCCUGCAUUUUUUCAUAAGGCAGUGCAACAUGAUUUCAAUUAUUGUCAAAGAAAAACAAAAUAAAAAUGGCAAAAUUCAAAUGUGAAAA
Molecule: long non-coding RNA, 685 nt
Organism: Protopterus annectens (West African lungfish)
Lineage: Eukaryota; Metazoa; Chordata; Ceratodontiformes; Protopteridae
Exons: 3
Source: RefSeq, a predicted model, not a curated record